RNAcentral lists this ribosomal RNA (253 nucleotides) under uncultured Methanosarcina sp. Its description in RNAcentral is "partial 16S ribosomal RNA". It matches the Rfam family "Archaeal small subunit ribosomal RNA", at positions 554 to 806 of the family's 1478-position model. Lineage: Archaea; Methanobacteriati; Methanobacteriota; Methanomicrobia; Methanosarcinales; Methanosarcinaceae. The record is from RNAcentral.
AUAGCUCAACUAUUAGGCUUUCGGGGGAUACUGCCAGGCUUGGAACCGGGAGAGGUAAGAGGUACUACAGGGGUAGGAGUGAAAUCUUGUAAUCCCUGUGGGACCACCUGUGGCGAAGGCGUCUUACCAGAACGGGUUCGACGGUGAGGGACGAAAGCUGGGGGCACGAACCGGAUUAGAUACCCGGGUAGUCCCAGCCGUAAACGAUGCUCGCUAGGUGUCAGGCACGGUGCGACCGUUUCUGGUGCCGCAG